AACAAAAAAGUUUUUUUUAGAUAAGAAUAGUAGAUUGUAAGUUUAUUGGUGUGGUGUCACUUUUGUUU
RNAcentral lists this transfer RNA (68 nucleotides) under Epanerchodus koreanus. RNAcentral describes it as "tRNA-Tyr". The record is from RNAcentral. Lineage: Eukaryota; Metazoa; Arthropoda; Diplopoda; Polydesmida; Polydesmidae.